GACCGGCGCACGGGUGAGUAACGCGUAUGCAACCUACCUAUCAGAGGGGGAUAGCCCAUUGAAAGAUGGAUUAAUACCGCAUAAAGCAGGGGUCCCGCAUGGGAAUAUUUGCUAAAGAUUAAUUGCUGAUAGAUGGGCAUGCGUUCCAUUAGUUAGUUGGUAGGGUAACGGCCUACCAAGACAUCGAUGGAUAGGGGUUCUGAGAGGAAGGUCCCCCACACUGGUACUGAGACACGGACCAG
Molecule: ribosomal RNA, 242 nt
Filed under: uncultured bacterium
Lineage: Bacteria
Description: partial 16S ribosomal RNA
Rfam family: Bacterial small subunit ribosomal RNA
Source: RNAcentral